GACAGAGGUGCCGAGCGUUAGGCGGAAUCACUGGGCUUAAAGCGUGUGUAGGCGGGUCGUUAAGUGUCUUGUGAAAUCCCACCGCUCAACGGUGGAACCGCUGGGCAUACUGGCGAUCUUGAGCAGUCCAGGGGCGAGCGGAACAAGCGGUGGAGCGGUGAAAUGCGUAGAUAUCGGAAGGAACGCCGGUGGCGAAAGCGAGCUGCUGGAUCCCUCCUGACGCUGAGGCACGAAAGCGUGGGGAGCAAACAGG
RNAcentral lists this ribosomal RNA (253 nucleotides) under uncultured bacterium. RNAcentral's name for it is "partial 16S ribosomal RNA". It matches the Rfam family "Bacterial small subunit ribosomal RNA", at positions 524 to 776 of the family's 1533-position model. The record is from RNAcentral.